UCUGGUGUGUUUCAAAAUGGUUCCUUUUCCCCUCUCUGUGCCAGAAGCCCAAGAGGAUUUUUCUCUAUUUCCUGUGAGGACCUGGUCAACCUUUUGGAGAUAUUGAUGCCUUCAGUUGAGAUUAAUUGGAUGUGGUUUCUAAUUAGCAAGAUAAAAAGUUGUGAAGAGGCACAAGUAAAUGAUGGCACUGUAUCGUCAACCGCUCUCCACCUCCUUUUGGACUGGUGUAGUCACCUGCCUUUCCUGCUACACACUGGUUUGGUGGGAAAACAUAAAGGAUCAGUGUGAUAUGAAAAUUCUAUCAGGUUUUGGACAAUUUUUCUAAUACAAAAUAGAUAUGCAACUUAUCUUCAUAAAAUAUGGAAUUCAAAAUUGACAAAUAGAGUUUUCCCCACUUAAAACCAUACUGCCAGAAGGGGUAAAAAUGAUCCCCUAAUUCAAAUGCCAGCCUACAGGUUAUUAAAUACCGAGAAGGAAGAAAUGUGCUCACAAGAGGUGCAAAGAACUGUGGGUGUUUAUACUUCAAGUAAUGCGAUGAAAUUGACUGUAACUAAUAGAGUGUGAAAUAGUCUCCGAAGGAGCAUAAUGAAGUCCUAAAGAAAAUAGCUUAAAACAGGAGUGGAUGAACGUCUUGAAAAUUCAAGCAAGGAAAAUCACUACUGCUUCGGAAGGAAAUCUGUCUCUUGGAUCCUGGUGUUCUUCUCAUGGGGAUGUAGUGAUUUCAAUGACUUCCUCUGGACCAUGGCUUGGCUGCACAGAUGAAAACAUCACCCAACAUUCAUGUCAGAACCAACUUGUUCAUCAGUUGCAACCAUGGAUUGGAUACAGUACUUUAAUUCCAUUCUGGAUUUUCAUUUAAACCAAUGUGUGAGAAGCUCUUGUACAUCACUCCAAGUCCUCUUGGAUGCACCUCUUACCGCAGCCACUGCUGCAGUGCCCAGUUUCUUAAAGACGUCCCUCAGCCUCACACAGGGGCAAUUUGACAGUACCUCACCUUGGGCACAGGCUUCCUCUACCUUCCUGCUUCAAAGCUUUUUUGAGGACACAGCUUGGAACUCUUGGUGGAUCUUAUGGACACUACAGGAUGGACAACUGAGUCUAUGGGGCUACCUUGACCAAUUGGAACAGAAGCUAAUGGAUAAAUACUAUUCCCUGGGCUGCAAGUUCUGACACGCUUUUCAUAAGCCUUCUCAGAGUGUCCUACAGGAUCAAAUACUGGUGUCCCAGCCUGGUUAGUAAUGAAGCAACGAAUCUUUUAAUUUGUUUUCCUUAUUUUCCUGUUAAGCCCACCUCACCCUCAAAUUCCUGAGAUCACAUUAGUUGCCUUGCAAGUCUUUGUUUAUAGCUGUGCCUUUGAGGGAACUCAGGCUAAUGAAACAUAGAGAUGUAGCUGUUUUCUCCAGAUCUAAGCACUAUUUCGGUUGUACUGAAUAGAAACCCAAAGAACCAGGAGACUAUUAAUGAAGCUUUAAUGAGCCCUGGCACUCAUUAGACAUGGAAUCCCAAGAACUGGCUGAAGUUUCUGUCCAAUAGGAUGACAAGCUGGGAAAUUUCCUGGCCCAACACUAAGCAGCUGGAGGGGAACGGAAAGUGAAUCAGGACUUUGUAUUCCCUCCUGUCCUCCAGGCACCUGCUCCCUCCCUUGCCCCAAGCCUCCUAAGAUUGAAUUGUUCUGCUCUGAAUUUAAUGGAAGACUCUGCCCUUGGAACUGCAUCUCAGAGCCAAAAGCAAAGCUAGUAAUGAGCCCCAGGUGAUAUGUCCAUUUGCUAUUCUGCUUCACAAGUUAACUGUAGCCAAAGAAUUUUAUUUUGUGCUUUCACGAUGCAUUUUUUAAAACGUGGAUUUACUCUACAACUAAAUUCUUAUUAUACUUUUCUUCUAUAUAUUUUUCCUGUGGUGUACUUAAAUGUGAAGUUACUUAUUUUUCCUAUAGAAAAUCCUAAUACAGUUCCAAACUUCCGCUCUAAUGACCAAAAUAAUGUUCAACUUCAUUAUAAGUCCCAAUUACAGUACAUGCAAUAAGGGAUUAUGCUCAAUUCAUUUUGCAGACUCACUUUAAUUUUUACCUUUAAAAGGUAUAAUUCCCUUUAUCAGAGAUAAUGAUUGUUUCCAGUGUUCAGAUUGUCAGCGAAAUAACAAGUAGCAAAUAUUUAAAACAGUAUUUUUUAAAGUCUCCUUUCUUUUUUUUCUUCCAGAUUUAUACUGAGUUUAAAAUUUGGAUCAUUAAUCAAAGAAAAGGAUUUUAUACAGUUAGCUGCAAAUAGAGAAGUGCAUUACCAAACUAGUGUCAUUUUAAUGGACCAGAUGACACAGCUCUAAAAAAUUUUAAUAUUAAAGCCUCUUUCUUCCCUUCAGAUGGACUUAUGUGACGUAGUUAAGGCUUAUUGCAGAGUAAAAUUGCUGAUGAAUCUAUUUUUAAUUUUUCUGAGCACUAAAGCACCCUGAAGAUAGACUCUUUGAUAUACAUGCCAUGUCUAGUUGAAAACUGUGUUUUGUAAGCUGGCCUUCAAAGCAGAGAAGAGAAAUUUGAUCAUUAAUUUAUUGGUAGCUUAAUUGCAUAUUCAGUUCAUAAGCCUUAAAAAUGUAAGUUUGUCUCUGAAAACAUAUGCAUACUUAAAUUACAUAAGGAUUUGUUUAUUGUCAGUAAGGAGAAGCAGUACAUUUGAAAUAUUUUAAUAUCUAAGAUUAUUUUGUAAUUUUUCUUUAGGACACUACACUUCUGCAGUCUGUCCUUAGGCUAAGUCAACACUUUAUUAUCUUACCACUUGUUAAUUCACAGAGUCUCACUUAACCUAAGUAUUUUUGACUUUCAAAACAGAAAUACUCUUUGAAUUUUAUUCAUGGAUUUUCUUAUAAUGUUUCUUCAAUGUUCACGUUAGUUAUCCUUUGAUCAUUUUCUCUUAAGAUCCAUACACAUAAAAUAGAUUUUAAGCUUGAGGGCUGCAUAGUAAACUAUACAAUAUUUAAAUUCUUAUGGAAGUUCUUCUCAAGUUCUUUCUCUCAAUUUCACUGAAUACAGCACAACUAGCCCUAUUUUCCACACUUAUUUCCCUAAUGUAAUUUAAAUGACAGGAAAGCAGAAUGCUUAUGAAACUAAUGUCACAUGUCUUCAGUUGCUGGAGAGGCCUCUUCUCACAGAGAAAAUCUCAAAUCCAUAAUUACCAAUUGCACUUCAAGUCUGAAGGUAUAAAAGGCACACCAUCGCUUACAAAGAAUGUUGCUAAGAGGACAAAGAGGGUGUUAGGUAGUCUAAUUUAUUGAGAGAUCGAGAAAAUAAUACUGUCAGAGGCAUUAUGCUCACCAACUAUUUCACUUGUUCCUUUACAUUUCCUAGCCCUGAAAUUCAGCAGGAAGCUGUCGAUAGCAAUGGCCAAUAGGCUAUGAACAGAAGGGAAGAGAGUCGUCCACAGUUCCAUAGAGUGAACCUCAGAUGGUGGAACCUCUGCUAGCCUGAGCAGACUUCUGCAGGAGAGUUUUCCUGCAGAGUUGCUUACAGACACACC
This is a long non-coding RNA of Equus caballus (horse), 3503 nucleotides long. NCBI's taxonomy places the organism in Eukaryota, Metazoa, Chordata, Mammalia, Perissodactyla, Equidae. The record is from Ensembl.